This 468-nucleotide ribosomal RNA is filed under the name uncultured bacterium. RNAcentral's name for it is "partial 16S ribosomal RNA". It matches the Rfam family "Bacterial small subunit ribosomal RNA", at positions 28 to 507 of the family's 1533-position model. The record is from RNAcentral.
GACGAACGCUGGCGGCGUGCUUAACACAUGCAAGUCGAACGGAAAGGCCCUGAGUUUGCGGGGUGUACGAGUGGCGAACGGGGGAGUAAAACGUGAGUAAAACGCCCUUGUCAGUGGGAUAAAUUCAGGAGAAAGGGGAUAAUACAGGGUAGGAGAUACUGAUGCGCGGUGGGGGUUGGAAAGUUUCGGCGGUUUGGGCUGGACUCGCGGCUUACCCGCUAGUUGGUGGGGUAGUGGCGUACCAAGGCUUUGACGGGUAGCCGGCCUUGGAGGGUGACCGGCCACCUUGCUCCUGCGGUACGGCCCAGACUCCUACGGGAGGCAGCAGGCGGGAACCUUGCGCAGUGGGCGGAAGCCUGUUGCGGCAACGCCGCGUGCGGGAUGACGGCCUUCUGGUUGUAAACCGCUUUCGCCUGUGACGAAGCGUGAGUGACGGUAAUGGGUAAAGAAGCACCGGCUAACUACGUG